UACGGAGGGUGCUAGCGUUAAUCGGAUUUAUUGGGCGUAAAGGGCGCGUAGGCGGGGAUGCAAGUCGGAUGUGAAAUCCCGGGGCUCAACCUCGGAACUGCCUCCGAAACUGUAUCUCUUGAGGGUAGACGGAGAAAACGGAAUUCCGUGUGUAGCGGUGAAAUGCGUAGAUAUACGGAAGAACACCGGUGGCGAAGGCGGUUUUCUAGUUUACACCUGACGCUGAGGCGCGAAAGCUAGGGGAGCAAACAGG
RNAcentral lists this unclassified non-coding RNA (253 nucleotides) under uncultured Parachlamydiaceae bacterium. Its description in RNAcentral is "contains 16S-23S intergenic spacer region". It matches the Rfam family "Bacterial small subunit ribosomal RNA", at positions 524 to 776 of the family's 1533-position model. The record is from RNAcentral. Lineage: Bacteria; Pseudomonadati; Chlamydiota; Chlamydiia; Parachlamydiales; Parachlamydiaceae.